Non-coding RNA from Pelobates cultripes (western spadefoot toad), 260 nucleotides. Lineage: Eukaryota; Metazoa; Chordata; Amphibia; Anura; Pelobatidae. The record is from the annotation of a GenBank genome assembly.
GUUUCUAUAUAUUGACUGUUGGAAACUGAUUGUUGAAGAAUUGCCUUGGUGAAUUAAACUGUGUCAUAUGGGAAACAAUGUAGCCAUAUGGUGGUCAGAACUAAGGACUUAAUUACAACUGCUUUGGAUAUCCCCUCCCCCCCUGGCAUCUGAUUACCAACCCCCCAAACAUCCUCCAGAGCCAGAGUAGCCACGCCCAUUUCUUACUCCCAAAACUGGUAUAUAGUCAGUAUUUGCACUCCCCCUGCUCUACUGUCCCC